AUGAGUCUCUUCCUGUUGGGUCUGCAACCAACACUGAGUGGCAGGGUGUGAGAGCUCCCGGUCCCAGCCUCCAGAUGCCCUUCGGAAUGAGCCUCCCCUUGUUCAUUUUCACAGAUAAGAGAAUCGAAGCUACGACAAGCAGAUGAAGGGGUGGGUGGAAAAUGUGACCUGGGUAAGGCGGGACGUGAGUGGAGUGUGUAAGACUGAAGGCGAGAGGAACCGCAGCACUCCACAAAGCUCGUCCCCGUGGGAGGGACUCGGCCAACGAUUGUGCCGCUGCCGUGUGUGUGCUGGGACGGAAUGGCCGGGUAAAGAUUGGCGGGCAGUGGGAGCCGGGUUCUCACUGUUAGAGUUGACACUUCAGGUCAGCAAGGGAAGGAAGCUCCAGGGACCCACGAGCUACUGGAUUGCACUCAGAGACGUCUCGAACUCGCGUUUAACCUUCCGCGGACACAGAUGGCUCCACAGAGAAACGUGUAUGGACGCGUGUGCAGUUGGGUCACCAUAUGCACUUAUGUCUCCUUGCCGUGGCCAUUAAGGGGGCCGGAGGGACUCGGGCAACGAGAACACCAAGCACCCAGAUACCCCACUCUGAAGGAGGGAGCAGAACUCCUUGCUCCUGAAGUGUGCGCUGUGCGUGGAGAUUCCUUCCAGGCAGGACAGUCAGAAAAGGGGGAAAAGGAGAAACUUCGCAGUGGAGAAACUGACAAAAGGCUACUGGCAGUCUAUUCAUAGGGAAAAGCAUCAGACAAAUUCCCCUGGAGAAGCAGACUGCAAUACACCUGACCGGUACUCCUCAAAAUCCCAGACAAGGAAAGUCGGAAAUCGUCACCGCCAAGACUACUGAGCCUAGAGACAUGAUAACUGCACACAGUGAGGUACCCUGGAAGAGGUCCUGGAACAGAAAAAGGAGAUGGGGCAAAGAAGAAAACCCGAAGAGAGUGUAUAAACUUUAGUUGACAACAAUGUAUCAAAAAUUAAAAAAUAAA
Lynx canadensis (Canada lynx) is the source of this 989-nucleotide long non-coding RNA. RefSeq lists it as uncharacterized. NCBI's taxonomy places the organism in Eukaryota, Metazoa, Chordata, Mammalia, Carnivora, Felidae. The record is from RefSeq and is a predicted model, not a curated record. The transcript has 3 exons.